This 252-nucleotide ribosomal RNA is filed under the name uncultured bacterium. Its description in RNAcentral is "partial 16S ribosomal RNA". It matches the Rfam family "Bacterial small subunit ribosomal RNA", at positions 524 to 776 of the family's 1533-position model. The record is from RNAcentral.
UACAGAGGGUGCGAGCGUUAAUCGGAAUUACUGGGCGUAAAGCGUGCGUAGACGGCUAUCUAAGUCGGGUGUGAAAGCCCCGGGCUCAACCUGGGAAUUGCAUUCGAGACUGAAUAGCUAGGGUACGGUAGAGGGAAGUGGAAUUUCCGGUGAGCGGUGAAAUGCGUAGAUAUCGGAAGGAACAUCAGUGGCGAAAGCGACUUCCUGGACCAGUACCGACGUUCAGGCACGAAAGCGUGGGGAGCAAACAGG